GAUGAACGCUGGCGGCGUGCCUAAUACAUGCAAGUCGAGCGAACAGACGAGGAGCUUGCUCCUCUGACGUUAGCGUCGGACGGGUGAGUAAAACGUGGAGAACCUACCUAUAAGACUGGGAUAACUUCGGGAAACCGGAGCUAAUACCGGAUAAUAUAUUGAACCGCAUGGUUCAAUAGUGAAAGACGGUUUUGCUGUCACUUAUAGAUGGUUCCGCGCCGCAUUAGCUAGUUGGUAAGGUAACGGCUUACCAAGGCAACGAUGCGUAGCCGACCUGAGAGGGUGAUCGGCCACACUGGAACUGAGACACGGUCCAGACUCCUACGGGAGGCAGCAGUAGGGAAUUUUCCGCAAUGGGCGAAAGCCUGACGGAGCAACGCCGCGUGAGUGAUGAAGGUCUUCGGAUCGUAAAACUCUGUUAUUAGGGAAGAAAAAAUGUGUAAGAAACUAUGCACGUCUUGACGGUACCUAAUCAGAAAGCCACGGCUAACUACGUG
RNAcentral lists this ribosomal RNA (497 nucleotides) under uncultured bacterium. RNAcentral's name for it is "partial 16S ribosomal RNA". It matches the Rfam family "Bacterial small subunit ribosomal RNA", at positions 28 to 507 of the family's 1533-position model. The record is from RNAcentral.